UUGACCUCGGAUCAGGUAGGGAUACCCGCUGACUAC
This 36-nucleotide ribosomal RNA is filed under the name Physcia caesia. Its description in RNAcentral is "26S ribosomal RNA". Lineage: Eukaryota; Fungi; Ascomycota; Lecanoromycetes; Caliciales; Physciaceae. The record is from RNAcentral.